This 3939-nucleotide long non-coding RNA is filed under the name Gallus gallus (chicken). RNAcentral describes it as "long non-coding RNA NONGGAT005618". The record is from RNAcentral. Lineage: Eukaryota; Metazoa; Chordata; Aves; Galliformes; Phasianidae.
AGGGGCAGUUCUGAGGGGUGUGAGGGGCAGGUCUGAAGAGAUAGGUGAGAUCUGAGGGGAGAGGGGCAGUUCUGAGGGGCUGAUCUGAGGGGAGGGGCAGAUUUGAGAGUUAUGGGUGGCUCUGGGAUGUAUGGGCAGCUCUGAGGGGUGAGGGGGUGGUUCUGAGAGGAGAGGGGCAUUUCUGAGGGGCAGAUCUGAAGAGAUGGGAGAUCUGAGGGGAGAGGGGCAGAUCUGAGGGGUGUGGGGCACAUUGGAAGAGAUGGGGGAGGUCUGAGGGGAGAGGGGCUGAUGUGAGGGGCAGUUCUGAUGUGUAUGGGCAGCUCUGAGGGGGGUGAGGGGCAGCUCUGGGGUGAGAGGGUGGCCCUGUGGGGUGUGAGGAGGCAGUACUGAGGGAUAGCAGGGGAGGGGAGGCGGCAGAUAGGGGGUAUGGGAGCAGUUCUGGAAUGAAGGGGUGGCUGUGAGGGGUGAAGGGCACAGUUCUGAGGGGCACAAGGGCAGUUCUGGAGUGGAGGGGCAGUUCUGAAGAUAUGGACAGUUCUGAGGGGAGGAGGGGCAAUACCGAGAGGGCUGUGCCAGGCGUAGGAUCGGAGCUGGGAGACCCCGCACAGCUGAGGGAUCUCCUGGGACCAAUCUGUGGCUGCACACACCGGCGUGGAUCGACGGCUUUGCGUCACGUUAUCGCAUAUCUGCUCCUGCUGCAUUGCACACCGGAAUGCACGGUGGCCUCGAGAGGGACGCUGCUUUUCCCUCUGAAAUCUUUCUGCUAUUACUGAUAACUGAGCACUGAAUAUGGACGCGCUCUCUUUCAAAAGCACCACGUCCUUCUCCUUGCAGCACGGCGCAGACUCACACCCCGUUGCUGGCAGAGCUGCUUCCACGCAUUUCAGCAUUGGUUUUUUUUGCUCAAAACUGUGUUUUCUGCUCUCUCCUGCUUGUGUUUCACUGCCUCGUCAGGGCUGCAAACAUCAGAGGGAGCUGCAGGCUGCUGCUCGGCCCCGUGUGCGGCUGCAAGGGUGGACACCGCGUGGAGCAAGCAGCACCGGCCCUUGGCCACCGUGCAGGCGGCUAAUUAGAGCCCUGCGUGUGAUGAAAUAAAUGAAAAUGAGUCAUUUUGUGGUGGUGGCCUGAUGGAAAGAAGCCCAGGAGGGAAGGGAUCGUAUGGACAGUGCAGGAAUGUGCUCGGGGUGCUGUCACACCCAGGCAGGGGUGCAGAAAGGACGGGGAGAAGCGGCUGCCCGUCCCUGGAGUGAAGCAGAAGUGAUCAGCAGUGUUAUUAGACAAAGAGGCGCCGUCAGAAACAGUGCCAUCUGGGAGGCUUCGACUUCCCCGAAAUAAAGCUGAGAACAAACGCUCCUAAAAACGGCACCGUGCUGCUAUUUCUAGACCUGAUCACCACCAGAUUGCUUUACCAAUCAGGCGCUCGCAGCCGGCUCAGCACAACGAGCAGCCCGAGCACAGCCACGCUGCAGGAAGCAGAGGACAUCCUACGUUGCUCUGCGCUGUGGAGGUGCAUUCCAAGCAGAAGAUGGGAACAGAGACCCACAGAAGCGUCACCCAGCCAGCCCCAAGCAGAGGCAGCGGGGUACAAUGCGUCAGCCCAGCUUUGGCAGUCUUCAUCCAUUGUAAAGCGGAGAAAAUCCCCCCAUUUCCAUUAAAAAAAAAGAAGUUAGCUUCACAGUACAAGUUUCUACCCAGUCCUACGUCAGGUUAGUGGGGCCGGAGGGGGAGUGCAGGGAUGGGAAGGGGGCAAAAUGCUUAAAGUUUCCAGCUUCAAAACUAUCGUAACAUCUGGUUUCUGGGAUAGGUGCUCUGUGGGGCUUUGCAGGAGUGGGUGAAGGGCUUUGGGGAGCACCCAUGGGUGCCACAGGGCUGAUCCUGGAGGUGGGGGACAGCCCAGCCCCACAGCCCAGCCCUGUGCUGCUCCCACCCCACAGCAGACCUCGGGAACCCCAGCCCGAGGUGUUGGCUGCGCAUCCUUCCAGCAGUUCUUAAUAUAAGACAACGAGGAAUCAUCCACGACUGAUAGCACAAAGUAAGCGAUCCAUGUCACAACGUACAAUCAAGAUGGAUUUUCUGUUUUUCCUCGGGGGGGGGGAGGUUUCCCAUGCAGGGGGAGGGAGGACCGGGGGUCUUGAGGCAUCACCAUCCCUGACCCCACAGUGCUGCAGAGGGGUGGGGAGGGCAGCCCUACACCUGGAGGAAACCCCCGCCCCAAAACAACCCCACACGUAUUGCAUAGUAUUGCUGUCAGCAGUCUGAAAACAGAAAGGAGAACUCUUUUUUCCAGCGACCUGGGGAUGUCUCUCCCAUAUCCAGGCAAGCUCCCACUGCGCACACCGUGGGGCACAGUUGCUUUUUGCUUCCCCCCCCCCCCCCAAAAAAAAAGCCCCCAAACAUAUAAAGCUCCAAGCAUAGAGAAUGCAGAAUAAUGGGGCUCCCUGCUACAAGCAGGACACGGGGAUGGCCACAGCUCCGACCCCACAGCGUUCCAUCAGCUCCCACUUGCUGCACUGCACCCCAAACCCUCCUGCUGCUGCCCCCAGCUGGGACCCCCCCUCCACUGCCCGGCCUCAGGGCCAGCCCGAAGCCACACCAGGGCCACCCUGCCCUACUGAGGGGGAUUCCACGGAGCACCCUUGUAUUCCUAAAGAUAUUUUUCCCUCUUUGUCUCAGCUGCUCUGGAACUUUGGGUGCACGACCCCCCCCCGGUGCAGGAGCACAGCCCUGGGACCCCUCCGAGCAUCGCCCCCCACUCUGACCUUACCCCUGGGAGCUGCCUGCUGGAGUGAGGGCGGAACGGAAGACGUUUCUCCGUGCCCUGUAGAGAAGCACAGCUAGAGCAGGUUAAAACCAACACUAAUCAGUAACAAUUAAAAAGGAUAAAAGGGGGAGAAUAGCUUAUUCUGGAGGCUGGCUGCCAGGGCACGCAUGAGCUGGGGUUGGGGCAAUGGGAUGUGUUGUGGGGGUGAGGAUUGGGGUUGGGGUGAGCAUUGGGGUGCACUCCCAUACCACACCAUCCCUAGGAUGGCCCCCCCCUGCUUGCAGCCCCCCUCAAGCAUUUGGGGCACCCCUCAAUCUCCUCAUGGAGCAGAGGUGAUGGCGCUGCUGCUGAGGGUCUUUUGUUCACAGUAUGAGCUGAGCAGCCGUGGCACAGAGUCCUUUGGUGCUGGGGUGUGUGUGGGGGGGACAGGUCAGGAGACACCCACCACGAGCUGGGGAGCAAAGUCCGGGUGUCAGUCUGGUGUCUGUGGGUGUGCUGGGGGGAGUAGGGGGAGGGAAGUGACCCCACGUGUGAUUUAAUACCUUAGAAAAAAAAACCCAAUAGGAUCUUCCCUAAACCCCACGAGCCCCAAAGCCCCAAAAGAUCCGCAAAAACCUCGGGGAGCAGCCAACAGGACAGCCCUAUCUCGUCAGCAGCCAGCAAACGAGGGCAGAUUUGGGGGGUGGAGGAGAAAAAAAAAAAUAAAAAUAAAAAAAAAAAGGAAAAACUGAAGAGGAAAAGGGGUGGAGGGGGGAGGGAGGGAGGGGGGCACUGCAGGGCUCAGGCCUGGUCGGCCACCAGGACCAGCGGGGUCACCAGGUGCUGCCCCGCAGCCACCGCUUUGGCCGCGCUGCUCCUCUGCCGCCGCUGCGCCAGCUGGGACUCGGAGGGCGGCGAGAGCUGCACGGCCCUGGAGGCUGCUUUGAUGAUGAUGGGGCGCUCCUCCUCCUCCUCCUCGUCCUCAUCGCGCUGGGUCAGCUGCCUGUUGACGGCCAUGGCCUCUGCGGCGAAGGAGGUGAGUUCUUUGGCACUGCUGUUCCUAUGGGGCACAGACGGAAGGGGCUGAGAGUGUGUUUGGGGCCCCAUGCAUGUGGGGAUGGUGCUGAAAAUGGGGCUCAGACCCAAAUCAUGCACUGCAACCCCAUAGUGGCACAAGCAGGAUCCUGUGGGUCGUAGUU